Long non-coding RNA from Rhinopithecus roxellana (golden snub-nosed monkey), 751 nucleotides. RefSeq lists it as uncharacterized. NCBI's taxonomy places the organism in Eukaryota, Metazoa, Chordata, Mammalia, Primates, Cercopithecidae. The record is from RefSeq and is a predicted model, not a curated record. The transcript has 2 exons.
ACUGACCUGACUUCGCCAGCGCCAGCCCAUCUAUGAGACCUCCAGCAUUUGUGCCCCGGACUGGCCCCUCCUAGGCCUGACUCUUUCUGUGAACUGCCCAGGAUCAAGCUACAAUGAAGAGGAGGGAGGCAGUCUGCACGCACCGCCAUUUUCUAGGAACUGGAAAGUGCCUCCCGCUCCCCCAGCCCUUAGGAAGAUCCAUCCCUGUGGAACCUUACCCAGGCUUACCAGCCUUUGCUGAGCUGGAUCUAUUUGGACUAGUGUCAGUCAGUAGGACUUGAGACGUUGGUUCUCUACACUUGCACCCUCCUUGUCCCCAUCAAAAUAUCCAGUACUCUACCUCCAGGGAGUAGACUUGACCCUCAAAUAAUAGCAAGUUCAGCUUUCCCAGGUCUAGGUUCCCUGGGAGGCCAAGAUUCGUAUGGUUCCUUAAUAUAGAGGGCUAGCUGUGAGUUGGAAUCCCACUAUGAGCUUUAGAAUCAGUCAAGAAGAACUGGGCCCCUUCCCUUCAUCCCUCCUCUUUUCCCUUUUUGUCCCAGAGCUCAGCUCUGACUCAAAGUUUUUCCAUUUACCAUCAACAUGGAAACUUGGCUCCCCACAUGGGUAUAUUAUCCCCCUUUUGUACAUGGUCUUGUUGAUCAAAACUCCCUUUCUGUGAAAGAGGCCUGUGGGGCUCAAGAAGCCUGGUCAACCAGCCAGGCUAGUCCCACAUACCUCAGAACCAGUUUAAUAAAGGCUCUAUGUCAUUCUU